UCAUUUUCAUCCUUGCAUUUCUCAGUCUUGGACGGGCAUAACAAUCGGGGCUAGGAUUCAGUGGCUUACAUCAAGAUCAAAAAAAGCGAAAGAAGAGAGAAGAAAUAAAAGACCGGCUGCAAGGUAUUGGAAGAUCAAACAAGAGAGCAGAGAGAAAGAGAAAAGGAGAAGAUCUAUUGGGUCAAAAAAAGUGAAAGAAGGGAGAAGAAAGAAAAAACCAGUUGCAAGAAAAAGGAAAGGAGGAGAUCUAUCGGGUUUGCAAAGACGAAUAGAAGAGAGGAAAUGAGAAGAUCUAUUGGGUCUAGAAUAAAAAAAAGCGAAAGAAGAGAGAGGAAAGAAAAAACCGGUUGCAAGAGGAAGGUUGAAAAAGGGAGACAAAGAGUAAAGAGUAGAGGAAAGGAGAUAGGUGUUAUCAUUUAUCUAUCCAGAAAAGGUCUACUGUAGGAAGACUGAGUCAACGAUUAUAAAUUCUACAGACAUAAAAUCGACAUCACUGUUGACUGCAGGCAAAAUUUUUCAGUGGUUCAUUUUUCUGUUUAUGGGGCUCUGAUGGUUGAUGCAUGAACUUCCCGAGCUAAGGAGGUUGUUGACAAGAAACUACUGAAGGUACUAUCGUAGAACUUCAAAAUGGCAAUGAUGCACCUCAGAAGAGAUCCAAGAUUUUCGUCAAUUUUUGGGGGAAACUUUAGCAUUGUUUCACAAGAACUGGCUCCUCAAAUUUUGAUUGAAAACUGUUUUAUUCACUUAUCUAAAAUUCUGCUCUUCAGUGAUUUUUUUUGUUUCUAAA
Long non-coding RNA from Rosa chinensis, 787 nucleotides. RefSeq lists it as uncharacterized. Lineage: Eukaryota; Viridiplantae; Streptophyta; Magnoliopsida; Rosales; Rosaceae. The transcript has 6 exons. The record is from RefSeq and is a predicted model, not a curated record.